Molecule: ribosomal RNA, 793 nt
Filed under: bacterium ASP1
Lineage: Bacteria
Description: bacterial SSU rRNA
Rfam family: Bacterial small subunit ribosomal RNA
Source: RNAcentral
CGGGGGCCUAAUAUGCGUCGAGCGCAGGAAUCAUCCGAACCCUUCGGGGGGACGUUGAUGGAACGAGGGGGACGGGUGAGUAACACGUAAAGAACCUGCCCUCAGGUCUGGGAUAACCACGAAAAUCGGGGCUAAUACCGGAUGGGUCAUCGGACCGCAUGGUCCGAGGAUGAAAGGCGCUUCGCGUCGCCUGGGGAUGGCUUUGCGGUGCAUUAGCUAGUUGGUGGGGUAAUGGCCCACCAAGGCGACAUGCAUAGCCGACCUGAGAGGGUGAUCGGCCCACUGGGCUGAACACGGCCCAACUCUACGGGAGGCAGCAGUAGGGAAUCUUCCACAAUGGACGAAAGUCUGUGGAGCAACGCCGCGUGAACGAUGAAGGCCUUCGGGUCGUAAAGUUUGUUGUAAGGGAAGAACAAGUGCCGCAGGAAUGGCGGCACCUUGACGGUCCUUGCGAGAAAGCCACGGCUAACUACGUGCCAGCAGCCGCGGUAAUACGUAGGUGGCAAGCGUGUCCGGAAUUAUUGGGCGUAAAGCGCGCGCAGGCGGCUCUUAGUCUGAUGUGAAAGCCCCCGGCUCAACCGGGGAGGGCCAUUGGAAACUGGGAGGCUUGAGUAUAGGAGAAAAGUGGAAUUCCCACGUGUAGCGGUGAAAUGCGUAGAGAUGUGGAGGAACACCAGUGGCGAAGGCGACUCUUUGGCCUAUAACUGACGCUGAAGGCGCGAAAGCGUGGGGAGCAAACAGGAUUUAAUACCCUGGUAUCCACGCCGUAAACGAAUGAGUGCUAGGGUUGGAC